RNAcentral lists this ribosomal RNA (544 nucleotides) under uncultured archaeon. RNAcentral describes it as "bacterial SSU rRNA". It matches the Rfam family "Archaeal small subunit ribosomal RNA", at positions 330 to 879 of the family's 1478-position model. The record is from RNAcentral.
GUGCAGCAGGCGCGAAACCUCCGCAAUGCGGGAAACCGUGACGGGGCCACCCCGAGUGCCCCCUUACGGGGGCUUUUCCCCGCUGUAGGAAGGCGGGGGAAUAAGCGGGGGGCAAGUCUGGUGUCAGCCGCCGCGGUAAUACCAGCCCCGCGAGUGGUCGGGACGAUUAUUGGGCCUAAAGCGCCCGUAGCCGGCCCGGCAAGUCCCCUCCUAAAUUCCCGGGCUCAACCCGGGGACUGGAGGGGAUACUGCCGGGCUAGGGGGUGGGAGAGGCCGAGGGUACUCCCGGGGUAGGGGCGAAAUCCUAUAAUCCCGGGAGGACCACCAGUGGCGAAGGCGCUCGGCUGGAACACGCCCGACGGUGAGGGGCGAAAGCCGGGGGAGCGAACCGGAUUAGAUACCCGGGUAGUCCCGGCUGUAAACGAUGCGGGCUAGGUGUUGGGUGGGCUUAGAGCCCACCCAGUGCCGCAGGGAAGCCGUUAAGCCCGCCGCCUGGGGAGUACGGCCGCAAGGCUGAAACUCAAAGGAAUUGGCGGGGGAGCAC